Molecule: ribosomal RNA, 184 nt
Filed under: uncultured bacterium
Lineage: Bacteria
Description: partial 16S ribosomal RNA
Rfam family: Bacterial small subunit ribosomal RNA
Source: RNAcentral
UGCAUGAAGUCGGAAUUGCUAGUAAUCNCGGAUCAGCAUGCCGCGGUGAAUACGUUCCCGGGCCUUGUACACACCGCCCGUCACACCAUGGGAGUCGGAAAUGCCCGAAGUCAGUGACCUAACCGAAAGGGAGGAGCUGCCGAAGGUGGAGCCGGUAACUGGGGUGAAGUCGUAACAAGGUAUC